CUGCCUUCUGGAUGACAAGUGCGUCUGGAGUAAGAGCGUCAGGGGGCGGAGGAGCCCUGGGACUGAAAUAAAGACUCUUUGUUCCACGCACGCAUGUGGAGGCGCAGCUUGACAAGCCGAAGACAGAGCGUGAGAAGGUUGAUUUCUGACCUUGGUUGGGAUAUGACCCCACAAGCUUGAUGUUCAUUGUAACUGGACCGACUACAGCAUUUGGAAUCUGCAAUUAAACUGCUUCAGAUUUGAUGCGGUGACAGCACAAAUCACUCUAAAACAGCAUGUUCAAAGUGAGAUUUGAACCGCAAAUUAGAAAUUAGAGACUCAACACUUUAAAGGAAAACUUUUUUUUUCUGUACCUGCCUCAGCAACCGUAGAGGGGGCGGAGCUAAAUGACAGAGUGAAGCCUACAGACAGUCGAGAAGAAGGAGAGAGAGGAAUGGAUGGGCGGCGCACGGGCCCAGGGUGGAGUGAGUGGAGGUGUGUCUAAACAACCUGAACAACAGUCAGAAUGACAGAUGGCGCCUCUAAACUUAGCAUCAAUCCCACCUGAUGGCUCAGCAGUGACGGAUGACGCCUGCCAGUGGAUUGGCUUCACCAGUCGCAACAACCAGCUGAAUCAGGCGGAGUAAAAAAAAAACAAAACAGUGGAGCUGAAACACCUUUUUGCAUCAUCAAAC
This is a long non-coding RNA of Betta splendens (Siamese fighting fish), 674 nucleotides long. RefSeq lists it as uncharacterized. NCBI's taxonomy places the organism in Eukaryota, Metazoa, Chordata, Actinopteri, Anabantiformes, Osphronemidae. The record is from RefSeq and is a predicted model, not a curated record. The transcript is spliced from 3 exons.